RNAcentral lists this ribosomal RNA (164 nucleotides) under uncultured bacterium. Its description in RNAcentral is "partial 16S ribosomal RNA". It matches the Rfam family "Bacterial small subunit ribosomal RNA", at positions 355 to 511 of the family's 1533-position model. The record is from RNAcentral.
UAGGGAAUCUUCCACAAUGGGCGAAAGCCUGAUGGAGCAACGCCGCGUGAGUGAAGAAGGGUUUCGGCUCGUAAAACUCUGUUGUUAAAGAAGAACAUAUCUGAGAGUAACUGUUCAGGUAUUGACGGUAUUUAACCAGAAAGUCACGGCUAACUACGUGCCAA